Molecule: long non-coding RNA, 1059 nt
Filed under: Taeniopygia guttata (zebra finch)
Lineage: Eukaryota; Metazoa; Chordata; Aves; Passeriformes; Estrildidae
Description: lncRNA (ENSTGUG00000023772.1)
Source: RNAcentral
ACCCCUGGGUGGUGACCCCAGAGGUGACCCCAGGAGGUGACCAUGGAGGUGACAGUGUGGGGGUGACCCUGGGAGGUGACAGCAGGGGGGUGACCCCAGGAGGUGACCCUGGACGGGUGACCCCUGGGUGGUGACCCCAGAGGUGACCCUGGAGGUGACCAUGGAGGUGACAGUGUGGGGGUGACCAUGGAGGUGACAGUGGGGUGGUGGCACUAGGAGGUGACCCUGGGCAGUGACCCCGGAGGUGACACCAUGGGGUGACCCCAGGAGGUGACCCUAGGAAGUGACCCUGGGCAGUGACCCCGGGGGUGACCCUGGAGGUGACCCAGGAGGUGACAGUGGGAGGUGACACCAUGGGGUGACCCUGGGCAGUGACCCCAGAGCUGACCCCUGUCCCUGUGUCCCUGUGUCCCUGUCCCUGUGUCCCUGUGUCCCUGUCCCCGUGUCCCCAUCCCUGUCCCCGUGUCCCUGUGUCCCCAUCGCUGUCCCCAGACCUUCCCGCCGGGGCCCUACGCGACCCCCCCGAGCUAUGGGGGCACCUUUGGGCCCCCCCCGGCCGGAGCGCUGCCCCACCCCGGGGGGGCCAACUACAGCCAGAUGCCACCGGGCUCCUUCAUCUCCGCCUCGAACGGCCCCGCGGUGCUGGUGAAGCGCGAGGCGGAGGCGCUGGAGCGGAAGGAGCCCAGGGGGGGGGAGGUGAUCUGCAUCGACGACUGAGGGGGGGGCGGGGCCGGGGGGGCCCCCCCGCCCCUCCCCCCACUCGCCAACCCCACCCCGGGGUGGCCCCGAGCCCGGCGGGGGGAGGGGGCGGGUUUGGGGGGGUGGGGGAGGGGCGGGGGGGUUAUAAAUAUGGAAUUCUAUAAAUAUGGAUUUAUGGGGGGGGAGGGGCGCUCCCCGCCCCUCCCCCCCCGCUCGGGCUCGUGUUUAACCGCAGCGAAUAAACCGGAACCUUCCUUGGCUACCAUGGGGAUGGUCGUGGCUACCAUGGGGAUGGUCGUGGCUACCGUGGCCGUGGUCACCUGGGGGUGGUGGCCACCAGGAGUUGGGGUUUGGCUACUG